RNAcentral lists this ribosomal RNA (506 nucleotides) under uncultured Eubacteriales bacterium. RNAcentral describes it as "bacterial SSU rRNA". It matches the Rfam family "Bacterial small subunit ribosomal RNA", at positions 649 to 1159 of the family's 1533-position model. The record is from RNAcentral. Lineage: Bacteria; Bacillati; Bacillota; Clostridia; Eubacteriales.
AAGUAGAGGUAGGCGGAAUUCCCGGUGUAGCGGUGAAAUGCGUAGAGAUCGGGAGGAACACCAGUGGCGAAGGCGGCCUACUGGGCUUUAACUGACGCUGAGGCACGAAAGCAUGGGUAGCAAACAGGAUUAGAUACCCUGGUAGUCCAUGCCGUAAACGAUGAUUACUAGGUGUGGGGGUCUGACCCCUUCCGUGCCGGAGUUAACACAAUAAGUAAUCCACCUGGGGAGUACGGCCGCAAGGUUGAAACUCAAAGGAAUUGACGGGGGCCCGCACAAGCAGUGGAGUAUGUGGUUUAAUUCGAAGCAACGCGAAGAACCUUACCAGGUCUUGACAUCUAACUAACGAAGCAGAGAUGCAUUAGGUGCCCUUCGGGGAAAGUUAAGACAGGUGGUGCAUGGUUGUCGUCCGCUCGUGUCGUGAGAUGUUGGGUUAAGUCCCGCAACGAGCGCAACCCUUGUGAUUAGUUGCUACGCAAGAGCACUCUAAUCAGACUGCCGUUGAC